UUACUAAUCCAAUGGUUGACAGAAUAUGUUAAGGAAAAGAUCUUGGCCAUUAAUAGCCAUCAUGUGGCUGGGGAGCUGAGUUGGGUGUUCAGACUUAACUGACACCUGAAAGACAGUUGCCAGACUACAAUAGUAGGGGCAGCCUAAAAGUAAUGGGAGCAUUACUUACUCUCAACCGGUUACACUCAAAAAAACAUUGUCGUCUAAACAAAAAAGGUCAUCGGAAGGAUUGCUCGGACAACGUCAGACCGGUUGAGGAUUUCAAAGGAUUCUGGGAAAUGACACUUCAACGAAAACGGGGAGCAACUGCAAAAAAUGAAGAAAAAAAGUUGAAGUGGCAAAAUUCACGAAAGACACUUUGGCACAAAUUCAAUCUGAAAGAGGUCGAAUGGAGACUUUAUUAAGAGAGCAAAAUAGAUUACAAAAUACUGAGAUGCAAAAGGUUCUUGCUGGAAAGUGGAAGGUUGCUUUCAAUUUGGGUUCUACAAGUAAAUCUUAGAAGCAAAAGGAGAAGAAAAAUGAGAUUGCACCUUCUGAUUUGGAUGAAAGUUAUGAAAUUGAAGAAGAGGACCACAAUGAAGAUGAUGAAGAAGGUUUUGAAGUUGCUUCACGUGAAAUGAUCAAUCAGUGUUCUUUCAAAAGAAUCGUGAGGAUUGUGGAUACAUUAUCGGAUGAGUAGAAGGCAAUGGUACGAGGGGAAAUUUGGUGCAUAUUUGAGGGCAGAUUACCCCAUAUACAGUGAGCUGGUUAAAUGGCUCUUUGACUGUGUGGAUGUUGGCGGCAACUUCAUUAAUAUUUAUGGGAAGAAGGUGCCAAUGUCCCCGAGGAUUUUCCAACGUGUUAUGGAGCAUCCUGAUGGGAAUGUUUGGAUCGACAUUGAAGCAAAGGUUGAUGAGAUGGAGUUGAAUGAUAAAUUAAUGGGGGGUAAAGCUAGAAUCAGCUUGACAACUUUGGAGAAGUAAUUGCUAGAUUAUAGUGAGGCUGAGUCAUUUUUCUUCGCAAGUUUUGUCCUCGUGAUCCUUGGGAGCAUCUUAGUUCUAAGAACCGGGAACACAAUACAUUCAAGUUACAUAAGCAUCGUCACUGAUCCCGACAAGAUCAAGUCCCAAAACUGGGCAACUCAUGCAUACAGUGAAUUAAUGAAAUUUGUGGGGAAGUACCAAGCUGGUUGUUUAAUUCAUGCAAAAGGAUACACAACAUUUUUGUAGUUACUUCAAUUACUUUGACAUUCCAAAUAUGUCUGUCGACCGUAGUGUUUCUCUGAUAUGAUUUUGGACAGAUAAGGCAACCAAGCGAGUGAAGAAUUAUGUCUGUCACAAUGAGGGUUACAGUGGCUGCAAAACAAUAAGUGGUCUCCUUUAUUUAAUGUUUUUUUUCUUGAAGUUUUAAAGAUUAAAUAUUGAAUUUGAUUCAGUUUUUUUUUUUUUUUAGGUUCGUGUUGUUGACGAACUUCAUCAACCCCCACAAAUUGAUCCAAGUGAGGACUGUGUAGUGAAAGGGGCUGUAACUUUUUAUGCAAGAAGGUUAUGAAAAUGUCUUCUCAAAUGGAUUCAUUGAUGGCCGUGAUUGGCACAUUACCUGAGAAAAUCAGGGAUAUGAUUGCAAGUGAGGUUAAGCGCCUCAAUUUGAACACUGCAGUGGCAGAUGCCCCUUGAAAUGGGGGCUUUUAUGAGUGCGAACGAGAAUGAUGGAAAUGUUAGGCCUGAAGUAGGAGAAGAAAAUAUAAUGGAUUUGACCAAACUUUUUGAUGAUGUCAAUGUUUCGGGCAAUCAUUUUAAACAACUACAAGAAAGGCACAAGUGGGGGAUCAUUGGUUAUGACAAUUUUCGGUCACACGAAGGGAUUGUGGUUGGCACUUUCAAGCUUUCUAUGGCCGUAACAAUGUAGAUGUUUAAAUUGGCCGAGUACGUCUACAACCCUACCCUUUAAGACUUUUAUAUAGUGUGUGAUUACGGGGAUCUUCUAUUGGAUUGUGUAUGCAUGAGGUCACUUGAGCCUUCAAAAAUGGUGCGGGAAGAGCAAAAAUACCAUGGUAAGGAUUUCCCAGUUCGUCGGACAGCUUAUAAAAACAAAUGGAAGCAACAUCACUAUGGUGAUUUUCGUAGAUGUCAUGAGAUGUUGAUCCCUGUUUUUAUUAAAGAAGGUUCAAAUGUGGUGUAUUGGUUCAUGGCAAGAGUGGAUAAGGCCAACCAAAAAUGUAACGCCCUAGUUACUCCAAGACUGUUACUGUGAAAUUUGAACCGUGUUUAACUCGCUAAUCGAGUUCUUUGGUUAUAAACAUGCAUCUAGGUGCUAUUAAUAUGUUAAGGUGAAAAAUCAAUCAAAGAUGAAAUGAUAUAUCUUAUUUAA
This is a long non-coding RNA of Humulus lupulus (European hop), 2349 nucleotides long. RefSeq lists it as uncharacterized. The record is from RefSeq and is a predicted model, not a curated record. NCBI's taxonomy places the organism in Eukaryota, Viridiplantae, Streptophyta, Magnoliopsida, Rosales, Cannabaceae. The transcript has 9 exons.